GUGUCGAAGAAGGAACGUACUUUGGCGUUCUUAUGAGCUGCCUAGUACAAAUUAUUGGCAGAAACAAUGAAUUAAACAUUCAAAAAGUAACCCACCGGCCGGCCGCAGCGGCUUAUGGCUGUAAUCCCGGCACUUUGGGAGGCCGAGGCGGGCGCAUCACCUGAGGACAGGAGUUCGAGACCAGCCUGGCCAACAUGGCGAAACCUCGUCCCUACUAAAAAAUACAAAAAUUAGCCAGGCGUGGUGGCGGGCGCCUGUAACCCCAGCUACUUAGGAGGCUGAAGCAGGAGAAUCGCUUGAACCCCGGAGGUGGAGGCUACAGUCCGGCACUGUUGGCACCAGGUCACCAGGACCCGCUUCAGCACAAGGAAUGUCAUCAAGGUGCCACUGCAGAAGCGGGCAGUGCCCUCCAUGAGGUGCGAAACUGUCUUCAAGCUGACUCCUGAAUUCUUCAGUCCUGGAAAGUCCAGGGGCCUAGAUUCUCAACAAUGCGCACAAAGGCAGAGAUGGGGAUACCGGAGGAGCCUCCAGGAAUCAUGGGCCCAGAACCUGCUCUCUCCACAGCACCCAUGUCCAGGCCCACCUUCGGGUGUCCACACCCACUCUGAGCCCAUCUUUUGUACCACCUCCAUUUCAAACACCUGUUUACUGCCUCAGAACAGUUCCUGGAAAGCAUGGCAGGUGCCUUGGUGUCUCCAUGAUGGUCAGACUCGCCCUGCCUUGGACAUGUGUCAAGAGAUGGAGCAGCUGCUGCUUCACUCACAGGAAAGCUGAGAGGCUGCAGUUCUGCCCCCAGAGAGCUCCUGCCUGAUCCUUCCCACCAAACACUGAGAAUGUGCACUUGGAAGUCUUGGCACUGUCGACCAGAGGCCUGGGAACCAGGGGGUAAAAACCAGAAAGCAGGCAGAGAGGAUAGUAGAGAGACCCAGGCUCCAAGCUCCCUUGGGCAUGCCCUCUGCCUGCUCCUGUCUCCCGUGUGGCCCAGCCCCGGAAGCUGCCAUCAUUCUAGCGGGUCCUCCCACCGCCCUCACUGUCCUGCCCAAGGGGACAGGCCUCAAGAAGAGCAAACGACUGCUCCUGGAGUCCCUCAUGCGGAGGAGGAUUGCACACCUGAAGUGGGGUCUUCCCCGGCGGAUCCUGGAGUCCUAUUUCCUGUUUAACUUCUUAGGAUCUUGCUCAUUGACCCUUGCUGGGGCGAGGCUCUCUGGACUGAACACAGGCCAGGAGCUCCAAGCCCAGCAGGAAAGGUAUUGUGAGGCCCAAGGCUCCCCACCAGGCCUUAAGUCCCCAGAGAGGUUCCAGAGGGUUCAGCGCCCAGACAGAAAAAGCUCGAAACUUCCUAUACAAGCCAGAGCUCUGGAGAGGAACAGACCGCACAUGUCAGAGCCCAUUAAGCAUUUCCAUCCAGCCUGAAAAGGCCAGGAGAGUCAGGCCACCAGGGGGCGCCAGAGAACCACAGGAGAUCCAGGAAGCGCUUGCUAGGACCAAGCUCCCAGCUCCCAGGACCCCCAGGCCGGCAGCGGAGUCCAGGAGCUGGUGUGGCCCACAAAGGGUCGGAGAGCCUCCCAGUGAGAACAGUAGGGGCAGGAAAAUGAUCAGGUCAAGGGUCUCCCAGCUGGCAGAGAGGGCUCCCAGCAGAGUGAGGACUUCAUUCUCUAGGGCAGACCACGCCCACUGGAGGAAGGAAUGUACAUCCUGGGAGGCCUCUAAGCUCCCCAGACUCAAAUGCCAGCAGCUCACAUACUGGAGAAGAGGAAGCCUGGAAUCUACAGGGUGCAGAGGGGCUGGGCAGCAGCCUUCCUGCCAUUCUGCAGAACCUGUCAGCUUCAAAGGGAGGCUCCACUCUGCGGUGGCAAAGCUGGGCCUGACCCUUCUGGCCAAGAUGUCCUGGUCCCCACAGCUCGCCAAGCGCAAGCACUUGGCCCCUAACCUGAGCCUGAGGGAACCUGAUUCUACUCUGCCUCCCAAAGUGGGUGAUCCUCGUGCAGGGGAGGACAGCAUCGGAGAUCACACUGCUUCACAGAGGGAUCUUCAGCUGCAAGGUCACUGCUGUACUGGGGCCACCCUUCCUAAGACAGAGAGUCCCCAGGGCCAGGAGGCACCUGGGAACCCAAAUGGGGCUCCACAGAAUACACGAGCCUCCAAAAAGUUUAGUAUUAUGAAGCAUCUGAAUUUUUUUCUCUUCCAGAAUGGCUUUAAAAAGUAGACUCAGGCCCAGAGUCCUCAGGACAUAUCAGAAAAGCUUUGAGAGUGUCCUGAUCCCUGCAAAGCCUCUAAUAAAUUGGU
Molecule: long non-coding RNA, 2286 nt
Organism: Homo sapiens (human)
Lineage: Eukaryota; Metazoa; Chordata; Mammalia; Primates; Hominidae
Gene: C22orf46P
Product: chromosome 22 open reading frame 46, pseudogene
Source: Ensembl